CCGGCCUUGAAAUACCACCCUUUAAUGUUUGAUGUUCUAACGUGGACCCGUGAUCCGGGUUGCGGACAGUGUCUGGUGGGUAGUUUGACUGGGGCGGUCUCCUCCUAAAGAGUAACGGAGGAGCACGAAGGUUGGCUAAUCCUGGUCGGACAUCAGGAGGUUAGUGCAAUGGCAUAAGCCAGCUUGACUGCGAGCGUGACGGCGCGAGCAGGUGCGAAAGCAGGUCAUAGUGAUCCGGUGGUUCUGAAUGGAAGGGCCAUCGCUCAACGGAUAAAAGGUACUCCGGGGAUAACAGGCUGAUACCGCCCAAGAGUUCAUAUCGACGGCGGUGUUUGGCACCUCGAUGUCGGCUCAUCACAUCCUGGGGCUGAAGUAGGUCCCAAGGGUAUGGCUGUUCGCCAUUUAAAGUGGUACGCGAGCUGGGUUUAGAACGUCGUGAGACAGUUCGGUCCCUAUCUGCCGUGGGCGCUGGAGAACUGAGGGGGGCUGCUCCUAGUACGAGAGGACCGGAGUGGACGCAUCACUGGUGUUCGGGUUGUCAUGCCAAUGGCACUGCCCGGUAGCUAAAUGCGGAAGAGAUAAGUGCUGAAAGCAUCUAAGCACGAAACUUGCCCCGAGAUGAGUUCUCCCUGACCCUUUAAGGGUCCUGAAGGAACGUUGAAGACGACGACGUUGAUAGGCCGGGUGUGUAAGCGCAGCGAUGCGUUGAGCUAACCGGUACUAAUGAACCGUGAGG
Molecule: ribosomal RNA, 736 nt
Filed under: Escherichia coli
Lineage: Bacteria; Pseudomonadati; Pseudomonadota; Gammaproteobacteria; Enterobacterales; Enterobacteriaceae
Also listed under: 1 other name
Description: partial 23S ribosomal RNA
Rfam family: Bacterial large subunit ribosomal RNA
Source: RNAcentral